Molecule: ribosomal RNA, 641 nt
Filed under: uncultured Parvibaculum sp.
Lineage: Bacteria; Pseudomonadati; Pseudomonadota; Alphaproteobacteria; Hyphomicrobiales; Parvibaculaceae
Description: bacterial SSU rRNA
Rfam family: Bacterial small subunit ribosomal RNA
Source: RNAcentral
AAACUCAAAGGAAUUGACGGGGGCCCGCACAAGCGGUGGAGCAUGUGGUUUAAUUCGACGCAACGCGCAGAACCUUACCAACCCUUGACAUCCCGGUCGCGAUUUCCAGAGAUGGAUUUCUUCAGUUCGGCUGGACCGGAGACAGGUGUUGCAUGGCUGUCGUCAGCUCGUGUCGUGAGAUGUUGGGUUAAGUCCCGCAACGAGCGCAACCCUCGCCUUUAGUUGCCAUCAUUUAGUUGGGCACUCUAGAGGGACUGCCGGUGAUAAGCCGGAGGAAGGUGGGGAUGACGUCAAGUCCUCAUGGCCCUUACGGGUUGGGCUACACACGUGCUACAAUGGCGGCGACAAUGGGCAGCGAAGGGGCGACCCGGUGCAAAUCCCAAAAAGCCGUCUCAGUUCGGAUUGUACUCUGCAACUCGAGUGCAUGAAGGUGGAAUCGCUAGUAAUCGCGUAACAGCAUGACGCGGUGAAUACGUUCCCGGGCCUUGUACACACCGCCCGUCACACCAUGGGAGUUGGUUUUACCCGAAGCUGGUGCGCUAACCGCAAGGAGGCAGCCAACCACGGUAAGGUCAGCGACUGGGGUGAAGUCGUAACAAGGUAGCCCUAGGGGAACCUGGGGCUGGAUCACCUCCUUUCUG